GUGCCUAACACAUGCAAGUCGAACGAGAAAGUGGAGCAAUCCAUGAGUAAAGUGGCGACCGGGUGAGUAACACGUGACUAACCUACCUCUUAGUGGGGAAUAACUCCGGGAAACCGGGGCUAAUACCGCAUAACAUCGCAAGAUCAAAGCCGAAAGGCGCUGGGAGAGGGGGUCGCGGCUGAUUAGCUAGUUGGCGGGGUAACGGCCCACCAAGGCGAAGAUCGGUAUCCGGCCUGAGAGGGCGCACGGACACACUGGAACUGAAACACGGUCCAG
Molecule: ribosomal RNA, 276 nt
Filed under: uncultured bacterium
Lineage: Bacteria
Description: partial 16S ribosomal RNA
Rfam family: Bacterial small subunit ribosomal RNA
Source: RNAcentral